This 254-nucleotide ribosomal RNA is filed under the name uncultured bacterium. RNAcentral's name for it is "partial 16S ribosomal RNA". It matches the Rfam family "Bacterial small subunit ribosomal RNA", at positions 526 to 779 of the family's 1533-position model. The record is from RNAcentral.
CGUAGGUGGCAAGCGUUGUCCGGAUUUAUUGGGCGUAAAGCGCGCGCAGGCGGUCCUUUAAGUCUGAUGUGAAAUCUUGCGGCUCAACCGCAAGCGGUCAUUGGAAACUGGGGGACUUGAGUGCAGAAGAGGAAAGCGGAAUUCCACGUGUAGCGGUGAAAUGCGUAGAGAUGUGGAGGAACACCAGUGGCGAAGGCGGCUUUUCUGGUCUGUAACUGACGCUGAGGCGCGAAAGCGUGGGAGCAAACAGGAUU